GUGGUAUAAGAUUGGAUAGAAUUGAACAGCUGAGAGGAGAACUGCCAAGCUACCAGCAUGUAAAGACUGUCUGAAAAAUAGCUACCUAUAAAGGUGAUCUACUGGGAAAUGUGGCAUCAAGAGUCAUAAGACAGGGGUCACAGUUCAUGUGAAUUUGCAAUUUAAGUAUCUCAUGACUGAACAGAGAUGCAGAUGAGGCAAUUAUACUUUUGAAAUCAUAGUCGGAUAUGCAGAGUCACCAACAAACCAGUGAAGGAUACUCGCAGAUUCAGAGAAGUUACUCUUUCUGAACAUCAACAGCACUCUCAAAAUCUUCAAUGUAGUUUUUCUUAACUCCAAACCCAAUUGAAAAUUUGGUAAUAUCAGGCAUUUGUUCUACAACAGCUAUCUUGGCAAUACAAAUAACUUCUAAGUAUUUCACAUUUCUCUCAUUUAUGAGAAAACCAUACUGAUCAUUCUGAGCAAAGACAUCAGGGCUGAACU
Chiloscyllium plagiosum (whitespotted bambooshark) is the source of this 483-nucleotide non-coding RNA. The record is from RefSeq and is a predicted model, not a curated record. Lineage: Eukaryota; Metazoa; Chordata; Chondrichthyes; Orectolobiformes; Hemiscylliidae.